Esox lucius (northern pike) is the source of this 1723-nucleotide long non-coding RNA. RefSeq lists it as uncharacterized. The record is from RefSeq and is a predicted model, not a curated record. The transcript is spliced from 3 exons. Lineage: Eukaryota; Metazoa; Chordata; Actinopteri; Esociformes; Esocidae.
UGAAACUACGCACCCAGGUUUUGCAUCGCGUGGCCAAAUGUUUCUUUUCACCGACCCAUUUGUUUCCGCAUAAUACAUAAUGCCACUGCGUGCUUCUAAACACAGUGGGCAAAGAGGUUUUUCGUUUGCAGUAUGAAGUCUGCCCGCUCACCUUUGAUGUUUUUGUUAUGUUUAUUUUUACUUUGGGGCACACUGAGCAGCAACAUGAGCAGUCAACUCCCUGCAAGUUUCACAUAUAUUCAAAAUAUUGACCAGGAAAGAUUCAAUACUGUUUGGAUUGAAAAAGCUCUAGAACAAGUUAAGGCUCAACAGCUUAAGUUGUCCUGUCCCCGAACAGAUGCCACCAGUAAUUAAUCCUCCAAACAAACAAGACCCAGAAUGAUAGCUAAUUCUAUACUACACUGUGUGAAAUGCCCCCUUGAUUGGAGUUGUCAUAAAAGCUUUAAAAAUAAAUACCUAAAACCCCAAAUUGAAAACAGAGUCACAAGAUGGGGUGGCUCCAAACCAAAGGGGCCUCAACCGCAACUAAUAAAGACAAGUGUCUGCCCAAGCCCCCGUUGAUUUCCAACUGUUUUAGACACACAAGGGAAAGCGUGGCUUAUUUCAAAGCAAUGAAAUGCACGGAAUGUGUUGAUCCAAAUGGUCUUGCUCAGAGUGAUCUCAAGCACCCCUUUACUGUGGUUCCACUGUUAGAGUGAGAAAGUUGAAAUAAUACCAUAAACAUGCAGUUAUUUUCUCAAGGAAAACACUUUGGACAUAAUUAUUAUAGAAACUGAUAAUACUGUCAUGAUCGGACCUGGUUGCCCUGCUACAUCACCGUAGCAACACACUGGUGUAGUUCAAGCUUCAUCAAGCUGACUUGUAUGCUGGGGGUGUGUGGGACUUGCCUCUGGAUUAAAGCUGUGUUGGUUCCGGCUGGUCCCUGGAUGAGACCAGAUACUUUGUCUGUGAUGAAAAGCCAGUAAGAUGCCCAUGAUGAAUUUCCCAAAUCUGGAAGUGUUCUGGGAAGUGUUGUUCCUGAUGUAUGUUACUCUGUGCCAACUAGACCUGCAGGACAAUGAUUCAAAGCAUUCCCACAAAUCCAGACAGAAUGGCACACUGACCGCAAUCAAGCUUUUGCAACCCUUUUGAAAACCUGUGGGUUGAGCUACAGAGGUGAGCCCAAAGAAAAGCACCAAGAACUGUAGGAUCUGGAAAAAGUGGUCUCAGAUCCAUUGUUAUUUGUUCUCCUACCUCAUCAAACAUUGCAGGAGAAGACUCAGUUUUGCAAGCAAUGGGAGGUUACAUGUUUUCUAGGUGUUGCCAAUAAUCAUGACAAUGUUUAAAACAUAUCUAGUUACAUUUGUUGUUCGAAGAGGCCAUUCUCUUUGAACAACUUUAUCUCAAAUAAUGGAAGAUUAACAACAACUAACUUUUAAUAACCUUUUUUCUAACCGUGUGCCAAUAAUUAUUGAGGGCACUGUACUAAGCAUAUGAUGUUUGUGAUGCACACAUUUGUGAUUGCCUUAAUCAACAUAGCGGCCAUUGAAACAAUGUGUGUACCUUCAAUUGGCAAGAGGUGACUUGCUCUGAAAAGUUGUUUUUCCUUGAGCUGAGACUAUGCCAUUUGUCUGCCUUACAAAAUAAAAUCUAUAGAAAAUGUUGUAGGUGUAAUCUGCUCGAGACCAACCCAACCCAUGCAUUGCUAUUGGACAUACUGGCUGCUUUCCAGCAGACAUUUUCG